This 1892-nucleotide long non-coding RNA is filed under the name Homo sapiens (human). RNAcentral's name for it is "non-protein coding lnc-SP100-2:1". The record is from RNAcentral. Lineage: Eukaryota; Metazoa; Chordata; Mammalia; Primates; Hominidae.
CAUUGACUGGAUCACAGCCUGAAUUACACCACCAAACAAAAAUAAAUUCCUUCAACACACAUCGCCUGUGAAACAAAAUACAGGAAAUUAGCCACAACUAAGAAACAAGUACAGAGCUUUGGCCCCAUGGAAGCACCCAGAAACAAAGUCAAUCAACUAUACACAAUAUACACCACAGUCAACCCUCACGGGAAAAACAGAAUAUAUAAACAAAAAGCCCUAUGCAGAUGACAGCAACUUCAAAAAGAUAAAGAAACACCAGCCUUCUCCAAUGAGAAAGAAUCAGCACAAGAACUCUGGCAAUUCAUAAAGUCAGAGUAUUUCCUUGCCUCCAGAGGUUUACACUAGCUCCCCAGCAAUGGAUUGAAAUGUCUGAAAUGACAGAUAUAGAUAGAGUUCAGAAUCUGGAUGACAAGGAAGAUUCUGCAGACCAGGAGAUUCCCUCAGGUGCCUACACCACAAGGGCCCUGGGUUUCAAGCACAAAACUGAGCAGCCAUUUGGGCAGACACCGAGCUAGCUGCAGGAGUUUGUCUUUCCAUAACCCAGUGGCGCCUGGAAUGCCAGUGAGACAGAACCAUUCACUCCUCUGGAAAGGGGGCUGAAGCCAGGGAGCCAAGUGGUCUAGCUCAGCCUGUGGGCGCAGCUUCAGCAGACUUAAACAUUCCUGCCUACUGGCUCUGAAGAGACCAGCAGAUCUCCCAGAACAGCACUCAAGCUCUGCUAAGGGACAGACAGCCUCCUCAAGUGAGUCCCUGACCCCUGUGCCUCCUGACUGGGAGAUACCCCCCAGCAGGGGUCGACAGACACUUCAUACAGGAGAGCUCUGGCUGGCAUCUGGCAGGUGCCUCUCUGGGAUGAAGCUUCCAGAGGAAGGAACAGGAAGCAAUCUUUGCUGUUCUGCAGCCUCUGCUGGUGAUACCCAGACAAUCAGGGUCUGGAGUGGACCUCCAGCAAACUCCAGCAGACCUGCAGAAGAGGGACCUGACUGUUAGAAGGAAAACUAACAAACAGAAUGCAAUAGCAUCAACAUCAACACAAAGGACAACCACACAGAAACCCCAUGCGAAGGUCACCAACAUCAAAGACAAAAGGUAGAUGAAUCCACAAAGAUGAGGAAAAACCAGCACAAAAAGGCUGAAAAUUCCAAAAACCAGAAUGCCUCUUCUCCUCCAAAGGAUCACAACUCCUCACCAGCCAGGGCACAAAACUGGAAAAAGAAGGAGUAUGACAAAUUGACAGAAGUAGGCUCCAGAAGGUGAGUGAUAACAAACUCCUCCAAGCUAUAGGAGCAUGUUCUAACCCAAUCCAAGGAAGCUAAGAACCUUGAAAAAAGGUUAGAGGAAUUGCUAACUACAAUAACCAGAGAACAUAAAUGGCCUGAUGGAGCUGAAAAACACAGCACGAGAACUUUGUGAAGCAUACACAAGUAUCAACAGCCAAAUCGAUGAAGUGGAAGAGAGGAUAUCAGAGAUUGAAGAUCAACUUAAUGAAAUAAAGUGUGAAGACAAGAUUAGAGAAAAAAGAAUGAAAAGAAAUAUGGGACUAUGUGAAAAGACCAAAUCUACAUUUGAUUAGUGUACCUGAAAGUGACAGGGAGAAUGGAACCAAGUUGGAAAACACUCUUCAAGAUAUUAUCCAGAAGAACUUCCCCCAACCUAGCAAGACAGGCCAACAUUCAAAUCCAGGAAAUACAGAGAAUACCACAAAAAUACUCCUCGAGAAGAGCAACCCCAAGACCCAUAAUCGUCAGAUUCACCAACGUUUAAACAAGAGAACUUCAUGUCACAAAUCCUGAAAGUUAAAAAUCCCAAGCGACAAAGAAAUCUUAACGUUUCUUCCCAGCACCAACACAGAAUCGUUCAUAAAUCCUAAAUGUUUACUAGAUGAAGAC